CCAGGCUUCUCCAGUGCACAGUGGCGAGGUUGGUUUCGCCACAAGGACUUAUCCUGCUAUCCGCCUGGGAGUCCUGUUGCGGCCUGCUGGGAACUGAGCGAGGGAGAAGUGGUUGAUCUUCCCGCGGUCUGAUCUUCCCAUGCUCUGCACACCUACCCCCACACCCUCCCCCCUUUGGACCAGUGGGGGAUAUCCCGGUCCCCUCGGAGCUGAUUAAGCAAACCUACUGAUACUCACCAAGACAUACAAGUUGCAGUGACCAGCUGCCUAAGAUAUGAAAAUGGCGGACGCCCUUUAUUUAGACUCACACACUGCAAGUUCUAUCCAGGGGGAUUCUCGCGACUUUGUUGUUGAAGCCUUGACUCGGCUCGACGAGAUCUUCCAACAAUUAUUGCUUCAACUCCAGCAUCGUAUCGUGGCUGAGGAGAAGCGGGCAACCGGAGGUAAAGGGUGCAUCGACCGUGAAGAAGCACGUGCAUCUAAAUGUCUGCCCACCCAGGCCGAGAGCCACAUGGGGCUUGCAAGCCCUGCAUCGGCCACAAAGACGGAAGAUCAAUCGUGAAAAGCGACUAAAUCCUCCGAC
This is a non-coding RNA of Pelobates cultripes (western spadefoot toad), 583 nucleotides long. The record is from the annotation of a GenBank genome assembly. NCBI's taxonomy places the organism in Eukaryota, Metazoa, Chordata, Amphibia, Anura, Pelobatidae.